This 6029-nucleotide long non-coding RNA is filed under the name Gallus gallus (chicken). RNAcentral's name for it is "lncRNA (ENSGALG00010029102.1)". The record is from RNAcentral. Lineage: Eukaryota; Metazoa; Chordata; Aves; Galliformes; Phasianidae.
GGGAGGGGGAGGAGGAUGCACUGCAUUUGAGCCCCGAUCUGCAUCCACCACCCCCUCACCCGUACCCCCAGCCUGCCCCCCUCCAUUCUCACCACUGGGGCUGUGAGGAGAGUGGGGAUCCCUGCGUAACGCAUCCCCCCAAAUCUUGCAUCUCCUAAAAACCCAUUCUCCCCGGCUGCUUUUUAUUGCUAACCUCCACUUGCUUUGCCUCUCCUUCCCUCCCUCCCUCCCCUCCAUCUCCCUCCCUCCCUCUCUCUGGGGGGAAAAAAGGUCAUUGCGCAAAUGAUUAGUCAGAGCUCAGUUGCUGUAGCAACCGGCUGCUGGAACUGGGACAGGCGUGCAGCGAGGACAACGGAGAGGUCGACCAUCAGCGAGGGCUGGGGAGCCCAGCCUUUGUAUUUGCUUUCAAGAGCCGGGGAGCGAGGCGGUGCGAAGCCCCCUGCCCCACGCCACGCACGGGGCCGCUUCCCCGCAUCGACCCCGAGCUGCUUGGCUGCGGUUUGCAACCGGCUGGCAUCUCUUGCCUGCUCGGAGCCGCCGUUCCGAUGCCACCGCGGUACCGUCCCUCGUGGCCGUGCCUCUGCUCGGGGCGGCUUCCUCCCCCCGGUUGUGGGUUCAGGGCUCCGUGUCCUCUUGCGACAUCCUGCAUGGGAAACACAAAGCCAAGUUCCUCCUCAUCCGGCACGAGGAACCGGGCGUUCACCGCACCCUGCUUCUUCCCAGUUCCGGACUGCUAUGGCGUGUUUGCUUUUGGCCCCCGAGCAGCUGCAAGCAGAGACAUCUCCCGGUUCUUCUCCUGCCCCAAACUCGAGGACAGCAGCUCUAUGUGCAAUGCCCGCGAGCUGCUUGGCCUUGGAGGACAGGGAGAGGGCUCCCGUGGGGCAGGUCAGCCCAUGUGUGUGGUGAUUUUCACCAUAGGAUCAUUGAGGUUGGAAAAGACCUCUCAGAUCCCCGAGUCCAACCCCAACCCGCCCCACCACGGGGCCAUGCUUACUGCUGGGGCUCAUGGAAAAGCACAGAGGAGGAGCCAGGUGUUGCAGCAGCCUAAAGUAGAUAGAAGUACAGCUGGGGAGUGGAUGGGACACCUCAACAGAGGCACUUUUGGUGGAGUUGCGUGGGCUUUGGAUGGGAUUUCAGGGAUGUCUUUGGCCUCCUGCUCAAGGUUUUCCCAAAGCCUGUUUUCUGGUUGCGUAGGGUUUGCUUGUUUGAGAGUCCUCACCGUAGGUUGGCAGAGAGGGAGACAUAAGGGUGUCCUAAAGGCUUGGGAGCCAACAGGGAAAUAAAAACAAGCCAACUGUUCUCCUUUCAUUUUCGCUUGCAAAUCUUAGUAUUUUAAAGGCUGUUCCCUGAUUUUUUCCAGAGUCUGGAAACCUUUAGGAGAUCUGAAUACUUGGAGUUGACUGCAUUCUUUCUGUGUGUUUUUCACCUUCAAUGCUAGCGCUGUAUUUUCCUUUAGAGAUGCUAAAUAAAAUGUGCAGCUCCGGUCCAGCUGACUAAUAUUUCAGGUUAUCAAAAAUGACAACGAAGGAAGGAAAGACCUCCAGGAGGGGGACAAAAAUCCAUGUGAGUCACUCAGACAAUCUGAGCCUGAAACCACAAAAUAGGGCCGCCCCAUUGCAAUGGGUUGGGAGAUCGUCACCAUCCUUUGGGCUAUGGGGCUGCCUGGUCCCCAGGCCAUCAGGGCUGCGUAUUUCUGCAGCUCCAUCCUUGCUCCCAGAGGACCCCCCGGGUACCUCAAUCUGUGUGGGUAGUGCUGGUGGUUCCUGGGUGGUUUGGGCACACUUUGGGGCUGGGAGGGAGCACUGAGGUCUUUUUUUUUCCCCACAAAUAACAUAUGAGAGACUUCAAUUGGGCUGUGCUAUCUGUGAUGGUUUGGGAGCACACUCACGGCUGUGUGACAGCUCGCUAAUCGGAAGGGGCAGAGCCAGGGAUGUCCCAUCCAGGUGGGAUGCCCAGCUGAUGGGUCUGCUGCAGGCUGGGCGUUGAUGGUGCUCCAGGAGGGACCUGUGAGGAAAUCCACCACCAAACUACACAGAGCCCUGCCCUGUGUGAGUAGUUCAGUGCACUUAAAAGCUUCUGGCCGUUCAGUUCCUCUGUGCGAGAUGGCUUCUUUCUUGUGGGCAGGAGAGAAACCAGCCAGAGAGCAGCCAAGGGAGCGCCUGAUGCUGCUGGGUGCCAAUGGGGGGAGGCCUGGCUGCCUUUUGGCCAUCCCAGUGCUUCUGUUUGGCCCUCCUGACACGAGCCCUAAAAGCACAGAGACAAUCGGCUCAUGGUGAUGCGAGAGACAGCCCUGACACGACCCUGUGACAGUAGUAAGGAACAGAACAUCCACGUGGAACCGAGCCCCAAGCCGGCACGUGGGGGGAUGACGCAGCAAAGCGCUAAAGCAACACUUUGAGAACUGAGAAGGGCACGGUCUGAGCCUCCCCUCAACCCCACACCUCCCAACGCUGCCGUAAAAUCUGUGCUGAAAAAGGACCAGCAAAUACCAGCCUCCUCCUCCUCCUCCUCGUCCCAUCGCUCCCUCUUUGGGCACAGCGAUUCCGGCUCCGUCCCCUCACCUGAGGGCUGUGCUGAGCGUCCCCACCUGCAGUGGCUGCUCGUCCCAUCCCGGUGCUGCCAUCCCAUCUCCUGCAGGACAGACCCUGUGCCAAGCGUAGGGCGCAGCAUCUGUCCUCAUCCAGGAGCACUGUGGAGCCGUGGCUACGGAGCCGUGCCUUUCGGUCACCAGCUGGUGCCUUUGUGUUGCCCAUACGUGUUCAGUGAUGCAGGAGGAGAUCUUUGGGAUGCUGUGGGGUUGGUCUGAUGUCGGGCAUGAGCCUCGCUGGGUUCCUCCCUCGUUAUCCAUCUCUUUAAGCAUCUGAGACCCUCAGUGCCUCAGUUUCCCCACACGUGUCUGUAACAGUGGGCACAGCUCCCUGAGCCACCCAUAGGCUCUGUGCUCCAGUCCCCAUCUCACAGGACACAGUGCUGGGCCACGAUGCCAAUCUCUGCAGUCCCAACCUCCACACACCCAGAAGGCAUUGAGGAGCACUGCGGCAUCCCCCACCUGUGUGCCUUGUCCCAGCUUGGGGUCAGUGCCAGUGGGUGCUCUGAGCCCACCCUGAGCCCCAUCCCUGUGCUGGUGGGGCAUUUCCACGUCCUUCUGGUGAACCAGCUCAUGACUCCCAUGGUUAAUGUUUGCCUUAACCCCUCUUUCCACACAUUGAUUUGUAUUUGCAUCAUGCCCUGGCCACGGUGCUCAGGAACGCAGGGUGCUUGCAGGGCUCCCCCCACGAGCAGCAGUGUCCCCCAGCCAUGGCUAAGGUCAUUCUUCAUGGGUUUCCCAGCAGCACUGGGGCCUCCAUCCUUUCUCUCCCAUUUAAUCCCAUGAAUUAAACACCGCCUUCACCGCGGAGCGCCGAGCGGUGCCGGCGUAAUGUCCAAGUUUUACGACUUGCCUUGAAGGCACCUAUCGAUUGGGGUCCUCUCUGGAUGAUGGAGCUUUUAGUGCAUCCUGGGCUGUCCGAGCAGGGCUGGAUCCUCAGCCCACGGGGCUCAGCCGCGCCGUGCCGUCACGUCCCCGUGCCCCAUCUCCAUGGGUCCCAUGGGGAGGCGGCAGGCGGGGCCCUCAGUGCCCACACGGCGCCUUUAAGAAGCCCACAACCAGCUCCAGGAACACGAGCUCAAGGUCACAGUGGGAAACCUGCGGACUUGGCAGCGAGGAGAGGAGAGGAGAGCGGGCGGAGGGGAGGAGGAGGGAGGAGGGAAGCAGCUGGGGAUAAAACCCAAAUUCUGGCGGGGAAGAGGGGACGGAGGGGAGCGGGGAGGUGAGGUGCAGGGGGGUCCCACCCAGGGGUGCCUAACUGUGGCACCUUGAGGCCCUGUGCCGCAUCCCCCGGCGCGGCACCCGGACGCCCUCUGGGAGGUUUGGGGUUACCGAAGGCACCGGGAAUGAGGCGGCUGCUCCUGGUCUGGGUUUGGAGAUGCCCGUUUUUAAUUUUCAUCAGCAGAAUUAAUCUGCGGAGCUGCUCCCCCCCCCCCCCCCCCCCCCCCUCCUCCUCCCCUCCCCUUCCUUUCCUCACUGGUUUCGACGGAGAAUUUGAUCACUUCUCCCAGGAGCUCGGCACCAUUAACAUUCACUCCUGGCGCGCACGAGCCGCGCUGCAUCGCCAAGCGCAUCGCCAGCUGUGGGCUGUGGGCUGUGGGCACCUCGACCCCCAUCAGCAGCCCCAGCCCUUGGCCUGGCACCAUCCUCACCCCCACCGAGCCGGGGAGGGGCUGCUUUAUUUCUGUGUCCGCUCCCCCGUAGAAAAAUGAAGGGCACAGCAUAGGAUCAGUGGGUGCUGCCCUUCUCCUGCUUCCAGCCAGCCUUGGGCUCGGAUCUGGAGGUGUCCGGAGGGUCGUGGCCUCAGGGUUUGCUCUGCAGCUGCUGGGACACCUGGGGCUGUCCAAUAUGAUGGAAACCAGAAAGCACUCCGGGGGUAGGAUCCAAAUCUUGCACCAUUUCACAUUUUAAGGGAUGCCAAGUGGUCACCCUGGGCUGCCCCAGAGUUGCAUAAAGUUGUGGACUUUUUUUUUCUUUAAUAAAGGUUAAUAAAGAAUUAACUCCUUAUUGCUGUUAUUAUUACUCCAUCACUGUCACUAUCACUAUUACCAUUACCAUUGCUAUUACUAUUGCCAUUGCUGCUAUUGCUGUUGUUGCUGCUAUUGCUAUAACUAUUGCUAUUUCUAUUGCUACUAUUCCCAUUUCCAUUUCUAUUCCCAUUCCUGUUCUCAUUCCUCUUCCUCUUCCCAUUCCUAUUCCUAUUCCCAUUCCCAUUCUCAUUCCUGUUCCCAUCCGUAUUCCCAUUCCCAUUCCUAUUCCAAUUCCAAUUCCUAUUCCAAACCGCUGCCCCUUGCAUGACAUACAGUUUCCCUGACACCAGCACAGUCCCAGCUGGGACGAUGCCCUCUGGCCCCGAGGUGCCCCCUGUGCUGCAGCAGCAGCAGGAGCUCCAUCAUCCCCUCCACCAGUGUGAGGCUGCAUCCUCCCCAUGUACAAAUGAAGCCCAUUUUUCUCCUUUCUGGCUGUGGCCCCACGCACUGAGCCCAGCCAUGCUGCUCCUCGAGGGCACGGAGCCAUUCACCGAAGCGAGAAGCCGAACGCUUUCUUUUUAGCCUCGCUUUAACAAGUAUUAAUUAACAAGAGAGUAAACACUAAUCCCAAAAUGACACAAACUGUGUCGCUUGAAACGAAUGUUUGGGAGCUGUCUGUGCUGGGAUUUACAGCUGCAUGGGUUAAUGGGUGCUAAAUCAUUGCUCAGGCUGCAAGGAGAAGCCGAGCUGGAGAGGGGCUGGGUGUGCUGCUCAGCCUGGCAUCGGCUGCACGGGGUGCUGGGGCUGUGCUGGGCUGUGCCAUGCCAUGACCUCCUCUGGUAGGAGGUGUGGAUCCGCUCAAUGCUUGGAGCAAUGGUGCCCCCACCCAGCAAUGGCUUUAACCAUAGAGCGCUGCAAGAGCGACCAGAGAGUCACCCUUGCCUACAGCCAACCUCCAACCCUUGUGGGCUCAGGGGAGGCUGGGGGCUGAAGGCAGGGACUCAGCGUCUUGAGAGGGGCCCGGAGAGGCAGGCACUCAGCACAGAUCCAGGCCGGGUUUUCUUCCUUCUUCCUCCUCUAUCGUGCAGACUGGGGAGCUGCUGCCUGUGCACAUGCUGCUCCAGUCAGUCCUGCUCCAGGCUGAGCUGCACAGCCAGCGUGAGCCGGCGCUGGGAACUGGGAAACAGCUUCAUGUGCACACUGCAUCCUCCCUGUGCACACACUGCAUCCUCUCACUGCACACUGCAUCCUCCCUGUGCACACACUGCAUCCUCUCACUGCGCACUGCAUCCUCCCUGUGCACACAUUGCAUCCUCCCCAACAUGCUCACUGCACAUUGACUGGGGCAGGACCACAACAACGCAUGGUCCUCCAUUCCCCCCAUGCCGGGAGGGCUCCCCUUCAUCCCAUGUGCUCAGCCCCAUUUCAGGAGGGCUGGGGAGGGCUGUGGGGGCUGCAGGGCUGGAAGCCCC